This 106-nucleotide microRNA precursor is filed under the name Anopheles stephensi (Asian malaria mosquito). RNAcentral describes it as "microRNA mir-598". The record is from RNAcentral. Lineage: Eukaryota; Metazoa; Arthropoda; Insecta; Diptera; Culicidae.
GGCCGAUGAUGACAACGAAGACGAGGAUGACGACGAUGAUAACAACGACAUUCAACGAAUGUCGGCAUUGUCAGCAUCGUCGUCACCCUCUUCUUCGUUGUCUAAA